ACCUCAAUCAUCUGGAAGGGAGAAGAUUGUAUAACAACAGUUGCAUACCAAAUUUGAAAUCAUUGGUAACAGGUACACUCUUUACCCUAUUUUCUUCUCUUUUCUCUAGAAACCUUCUAUUCUUUCAUUCAAUCUCUGUUAAUUUUGUCUUUUGAAUCUCUCUUUUUAUUUCAUCAUUAAGGGAAUAUCACUAUCUCUUUCAACAGGUUCUCCUCCUUGACUUCCAUCACUUGCUUACUCUCUUUUAACAGGUACAUUCUUUAUUUUUAGUUUUGCAUUCUAUUUUGUUUUACAACAAGUGAAAUAAGAUGAUUACACAUGCUCUGAUCGUUCGCAUUAUAUUAAUGCCUAACAACAUAAAUAUAUAUUAAGUCAUGAUUCAUGAAGUAAGAGCCAAUUAGAUUUUUGAAUCAUCAAGGCUGCUCAAAUAUUUACAAGUUAAAAUUUCGAAUAGUUGUCUUAUAUUCAUCUCUGGAAUUAUUUAAGAGAUGAAUGCUUAAAUAUUUACGAGUUAAAAUUUCGAAUAGUUGUCUUAUAUUCAUCUCUGCAAUUAUUUAAGAGAUGAACAUUGUUCAAUUUAUCCAUCUCUCUAUACAAAUGGAAUUUUCCAUCUGAAUCCAAUGUCGCCCUGUACACAAGAGUAUAAUAAAUAUCCUCGCUCUUCGACCAACGAUCAACGCUCACAUUCUGGAUGACUAUAUCAUUCCAAUCAGGAGAUAGAGAUUACUAUUCCAGUCUAACUUUAAGGCAACAUGAUCUGAUUGACCUGAGUAGUCUUCCAAAUGUUCUUUAAAGUUGCUACCUUUAUCAGCCCUGUCAUGAAUUACAACUGUGGUAUCUCGGUGAAUAUCAAUGCUGUAACCAUGUUCCCAUUUUCCAUAUAGCUUAUGCUGUUUCAUCAUGCAAGGAACUUCAUUACUGAAACAUAUAGCUGGUCUUGCAGAAACCUAUAUUUUAGGUGUGGGUUCUAUUUUUGUAUUAACAUUUAUAAGCGUAAUGUUAAGCCACUGAUCACUACCCUCCUUAAUUUGCUCAUAAUGUUUAUCCUUGCGCCUUCACAACGGUUCAACCAUUUCAUGUGUUAAGGAAUAAUAUUAGGUCUACAUUAUCAACAUCCUGUGUAUUACUCCUGGAGACCUAUGACUUGGUUUAAAGGGGAAAUGGGAUAGCUUAAAUUAUAUGGAAGCUUAAAUCACUGCUUUCUAUUUUGAUGACAAUAACCUAGAUUGUUUGAAACAGGAUAGCUUGAAUUACAUGUAAAACAAUAUAUUGAUAUGAAACAGCAUAUACAAAGCCAAACCAUGUACAUUCCUACAUUAAUUGUUUCAUAUACAGAACCUAUACUUCCCUAUAGAUCCACCUAGGGGGGUGGGAAAUAAGCUAAAGAUACAACAUGAUUGCUAACAAUUAUGACAUAUUGGUUGUUAACCCCUUUCUUUUUGAUGCAGGUAAACAUCCAAGGUUUGGCGAGAUAAUCAGUAUACAAGCAAGGUAUGAUCAUAUUCAUCUACAUUCUUAUCCGAUGAACAUGCGCGCACAUUAGCUCUCUUUUUACUGUCCUUGUUUUGACUGUGACAAGCUGUUUUUCUGUAAACAGCACAGGUUGAAGGUGGUGUACAUGAUUUGGUUUACCACCAGAAAAAUCUGUCUGGCAGCACGAACCCCACAAGCGAGAAGGUAUUUUUUCUAUGAAUCACGUUAUUGAGCUCUUUAAGAUUUAGUUUGAUAUUUAACACAUCAAGAGUAGAGAUAAACCAUAAAUAGAAGUUAUGUGUUAUCUUCAUGGCUUUAGUAAUGGUUUACACAUCUACACUCUCCCUAGCCAAAGGUCUUAAAUUAACAUGGAUCCACAUUCCCCUGAUUGGUUCUAUACUUCCUGCAACUCAAGUCCGAGGCCACUUUAUUUAUUUUUUUGUUGUACUAUGCUCUUUAGUCUUUACAGAGUACUACAAGUUUUAACUAUUCUUCUUUUGAUUGGUUAGAAUUAGAAACUUGUGAAGCUAUUCUGUUAAUUGGUUUUAUCUAUUAGUUGUUCAACUACUAAAUAAUAUAAUAGAAAGGAUCCAUUUCUUACACGAAACCAUGAUCAAUUUGUUUAAGAAUAAAAAGAUUCUUCAAACGCUAAUAACCAGAGAAAUCAUUUUAUAAUCUGGUUGUAGAUUCACCAUGCUCAAUCUACAUUUGCCGAGUUUAUCCAUUUAUUUGGAGAUAAACUCUACUUUUGCCGAGUUAAUAUACUAAUUCGAGUUAAACUCUAUUCUCUUUCUUUUUCGAUUGUAAUUCUUGUUUCCUGGAUUUGUUUUACAUUGCUCUAAGCAAUGGUGGUUGUUAAAUUUAUGCUAAAAAUGUUCAUUGAAUUUGACUACAGUUGUUGUAUGAUAAUCAAAUGGGUUUAACCACAUUUGAAGGGUGUUUUUGUGUUGAAUUUGACCACAAUUGUGGGUUCACUUUGAAAGAGACAACAAAUACCACGAAUUUUUUUUUAUUGCUUCCUUGAACAUUUCAUAGUAUGAAUUCAGUCAUAGAAGGGGUGUUUAGUAGAAGUGUAGAGUCCCACUGCGUAAAAGUAUAAUUUAAAUUUUAUUGUUAUUUCAUUAAUUGUUAAAACAAAAGAUCAGGAAACUUUUGCUUACUUAUAAAUUAAAGAUCAAUAUUAUUGUUACUUUUACAGGUAAGCUAUAUUUGUCAUUUGAUAUAGGUAUUUACGAGAAUACUUUUUCAUACAGGUACCCUCGUCUGUUUUCUUCAUCAACUUCUGCCACAUAACCAAUAGAAUCUCAUUUGCUAGCGUUUCAGGUAUUUUACUGGUUGUCUUCUAAAUU
This 2822-nucleotide long non-coding RNA is filed under the name Aquilegia coerulea. Its description in RNAcentral is "long non-coding RNA (ACOE_LNC001730)". Lineage: Eukaryota; Viridiplantae; Streptophyta; Magnoliopsida; Ranunculales; Ranunculaceae. The record is from RNAcentral.